UACGUAGGCAGCAAGCGUUGUUCGGAAUUACUGGGCGUAAAGAGUGUGUAGGCGGUGUUCUAAGUUUGUCGUGAAAUCUCCCGGCUUAACUGGGAGGGUGCGGCGAAAACUGGAAUGCUAGAGGAUGGGAGAGGUAAGCGGAAUUCCUGGUGUAGCGGUGAAAUGCGUAGAUAUCAGGAGGAACACCUGUGGUGUAGACGGCUUACUGGACCAUGACUGACGCUGAGGCACGAAAGCGUGGGGAGCAAACAGG
RNAcentral lists this ribosomal RNA (253 nucleotides) under uncultured bacterium. RNAcentral describes it as "partial 16S ribosomal RNA". It matches the Rfam family "Bacterial small subunit ribosomal RNA", at positions 524 to 776 of the family's 1533-position model. The record is from RNAcentral.